AAAUAAUGUACUUUAUAAAAUCAACAUCUGUGGAAGUGUGGAUAUUGUCCAGUGCGGGCCAUCAAGUGCUGUUUGUAUGCAUGACUUGAAGACACGCACUUAUCAUUCAGUGGGUGACUCUGUUUUGAGAAGUGCAACCAGAUCUCUCCUGGAAUUCAACACAACAGUGAGCUGUGACCAGCAAGGCACAAAUCACAGAGUCCAGAGCAGCAUUGCCUUCCUGUGUGGGAAAACCCUGG
RNAcentral lists this long non-coding RNA (239 nucleotides) under Pan troglodytes (chimpanzee). RNAcentral's name for it is "long non-coding RNA NONPTRT014891". The record is from RNAcentral. Lineage: Eukaryota; Metazoa; Chordata; Mammalia; Primates; Hominidae.